UCGAAGUCAGACGCCCAACCGACUGAGCCACCCAGGUGCCCCCUCGGUGGCCCUGUUUCCAAAUAUGUUCACCUUGUGAGGGACGUGAAGUUAGGAGUUCAACACAGGAAUUUGGGCAGGGACAGAAUUCAAUUCAUAACACAUACUAAACACUCAAGUGGUAGUUAUUAUUCACAAUACCUUCUUCAAACACGUUUUCAUGGGGGUAUUUUUGUAGCCAGGUUUGCAUCUUUUUCUCAUCAUCUUUCCAGGCCUUCAUUAUGUCUAGAAAGAAAGUGCCCUGAGAGCAGGUGAUUUGACCGUGGGGUUCAGUCCUGUGCUGUCUAGGGUCUAGGCAGCAGUGGGCCCCCUGGAAGCCCCACGGAAUGUCUACAGAUUAAUGAAUGAGGUCUGUUUCUCUCCUCCUUUCUAUUUACUUAUUUUUUAUUUCUCAGUGGCCAGCCUUCCACCUUAGUUACCUUUUCUAGAUUGCGAAAGCAUUAAAGACAAAAGACAUGAAACCAAACACAUUUUAAUUUCCUUUGUUGAUAAUUAUUAAGUCCUCCAUCAUCACUUGCUUCCUGCAGCCAGUGAGAAACCCAGCCAGAUGGCAGAGGGCAGCAGAAGUGUUGCUGGGGGUGGGGGGAGUGAAGUGCCUGUGUUGGGGACACUUAGAGGCCAUUCUGGGCACUUCCCGGGUGCUUGAUUUUGGCCAGAGCUGGGUAUUUGGAAUGCAUGUGGCCCAACUCUACUCUGAGAGUCUGGGAAGGAACCAAUGAGGUCAAUAUUGGCUCUACAGGUUGAAAGUCAAAGUCAAAAUGAAGAGCCACAGGCCUGGAAAGGUACAGGGACUUUAUCUGGUCCCCAGAAAGGUGUGACGGAUGCCCCCCGCAUCUGGCGCAAUGAUUCUCUGUCCGCACACCGCCAGUGUGGGCCCAAAAGAUGUGGCCACCUGUGUCUGAUGGCUCCUGGUCUGAAAACAGGUCAGGAGUUGUGUGAAUCUUGGACUCAGACAGGAAGUGGAGUGUGAAACGUAGACAGACCAUGCUGUGUAUUCGAGAGACCCAGAGACGGACUGUCGUAAGCUAAGUAGCUCUGUACUGGUGCCCGGACUCAACCCCCCCACCUUCCGGUGAGAGAAAAGAGUGAAAACACCCUAAUAGUGUGCUGGCAUCAUCGCGGUACAAAUGCAUCUAUCCAUCUGCCCAGCCAGCUUCUCACCGCUGUAGAACAGAUGUUGCACAUGCACACAGCCCCUGGCAAGAAACAGGAAGGAUCCAGCCGGGUGGGGGCUGGGGUUCAGGAGAGGCAAUAGCAAAGCAGUGAUAUACUUUCAGGCUACUGUUACCACUUGGGACCAAUGAAAACAGUGUGGGCUCAUCCUUGCCCACUUCUUUUUUAAUUAAGGAUUUAACUGGGUAUUGAACUCGACUUAAAAGCGUUUUUAUGGUGGAGCAUCUCAAAAAUACGCAGAAGCAAAUAGAGGAGUGUAGUCAUCCCCACGAGCCCAUCCCUCAGCCCGGACAAUCAUUAUUCCACGGCCGUCCGGCCCCACGUACACGGCUCUACCCGCUUCCGCUGUUUCUACAGACUGAACGUUAACACAGAAUGAAAGUGUUUUCCAGCAGUGAAACAAUAGGACACUGAGUCCUUGGAACAGCGCUCAGGCUCCUGCAUAGACCCAAGCGUCAGGAGAGAACAGACUUGAGAAAGAAAGAAACGUCAUGUUGUUUUCAUGCUGCUCCAGUUCUGCUGUGUUUCAAAAAAAAGUCAGAGGAGGCUACCGGUCAGCAGACAAUUAGUGAGAGCACGAGGCGCUGCCCUUCACUUUGUGUUGCCGGGGACACGAAGAUGAGAGGAGUGUGUUUUCUGAUCGCAGAGAUCUUUACAGUUUUCUGUGGGAGAUCGCACCCCUACUCUUGAUACAAAGUGGCCUAAAGGUCAUACCUUAGAAGAUGUAGGAGGCAGACCACACCUUGAUGAUCCACACACCUUGCAAGAUGUCCUGUGGUUUCUGGUCACUCAAGCACCCCUGGUCUUUGGAUCGCCCUGGGGAGUAUACUUCAGGGAGGAACACACAGACUGUUGGUGCCAGGCGGUGCUUGGGCUUUGGCUGACAUCUGGUCAACCCCACAGUCAUAAAGCUGCACAGACCUGCAGUGUGGAAGAGACAGACCGCUCCAGUGAAAAGUCGGGUUUUCCAGCUCUAACUUCCAGGGGUUAUUCCAAGUGUCAGGGGUGUGAGAGGAGCGGAAGGCGUUCAAGAGAACUGACGAAGAGUGUUUGGGCUGGGAGUGGACUCUGCUCCCCUCCCGAGGCUGGCCCAGCCCAGCCCACCUCACCCCCAAGUCUUUGAAGUGCGCUACCUGGAUGGUGAGCUAAGCCACGCUUGGCAGGAGGGAGGGAGGUUGUGUGGUCUGGCAAAGAGCAGAGCGGAGGGGCAGAGGGACCAAGCCUGAAUCUGCAGCUGACUCACGGCACCUCUCGUGCCAGGCCGUUUCACCAUUCAGUCCAGAUGGAAAAUGAGGAAAAGACCCAAAUCAGGAUCUCACUGAGAAAUCCAGAUGCCUUUCAGGAGAAUAAACAAGGCAGCCUGCUC
Long non-coding RNA from Leopardus geoffroyi (Geoffroy's cat), 2578 nucleotides. RefSeq lists it as uncharacterized. The transcript is spliced from 2 exons. NCBI's taxonomy places the organism in Eukaryota, Metazoa, Chordata, Mammalia, Carnivora, Felidae. The record is from RefSeq and is a predicted model, not a curated record.